GAUGAACGCUAGCUACAGGCUUAACACAUGCAAGUCGAGGGGCAGCAUGAGAGUAGCUUGCUACUCUUGAUGGCGACCGGCGCACGGGUGCGUAACAGGUGUGCAAUCUGUCCAUAGUCGGGGAAUAGCCCAGCGAAAGUUGGAUUAAUGCUCCAUGUGAAUCGAGACCGCAUGAUUUUGAUUUGAAACGCAAGGACUAUGGGUGAGCACGCUUCUGAUUAGAUAGUUGGUGGGGUAACGGCUCACCAAGUCGACGAUCAGUAGGGGUUCUGAGAGGAAGGUCCCCCACAUUGGAACUGAGACACGGUCCAAACUCC
Molecule: ribosomal RNA, 317 nt
Filed under: uncultured Paludibacter sp.
Lineage: Bacteria; Pseudomonadati; Bacteroidota; Bacteroidia; Bacteroidales; Paludibacteraceae
Description: bacterial SSU rRNA
Rfam family: Bacterial small subunit ribosomal RNA
Source: RNAcentral